CCGAGUUGGGCCGGGCAGGGAGGGCAGAGGCCAGGCUGGGAGGGGGAGGCUCCGCUGCUCCGCGUUUUUCCGGUUUGAGGACACGGAGAGGCCCACAGUCCUGACCUGGGCGGUGCUGGCGGACAGGGCCAGGUCUUCUCCACGCAGAUGCCUCUGGAGCGCGAUAUCGGGAAGAAACACUUCGUGGCAUGCCCAGGGUUAAGAGCUGAGGCGACAACCCGUUUUUGUUUGAGAAGCGUAGAGACAGCGUUUCGCCAUGUUGAGCAGGCUGGUCUCGAACUCCUGACCUCAGGUGAUCCACCCACCUCGGCCUUCCAAAGUGCUGGGAUUACAGGGCUGGGCUUCUUAUAA
This 351-nucleotide long non-coding RNA is filed under the name Callithrix jacchus (white-tufted-ear marmoset). RNAcentral describes it as "lncRNA (ENSCJAG00000076075.1)". Lineage: Eukaryota; Metazoa; Chordata; Mammalia; Primates; Cebidae. The record is from RNAcentral.